RNAcentral lists this long non-coding RNA (4290 nucleotides) under Marmota monax (woodchuck). The record is from RNAcentral. Lineage: Eukaryota; Metazoa; Chordata; Mammalia; Rodentia; Sciuridae.
CCGGGCCCUGAGGGUAGCGGCCCGCGGCCCGCGGCCCACAGAGAAGCGUCCACUGGGCUGGAAGCAGGAGGCUGAGUCCAGGACGCGGGGCGGGCCUGGGGGCCUGCGGCAGGCGGGGAGGGUCUGCAGCGCGUAGCUGGGCCCCUAGGACUGCGGUGUCGGCAGGGCUAGGCGUUUGCGAAGGCACAGCAUUCUGCAGAGGGAAGGGAUACAGGCAGGUGCACACCCGCCGUGAGGGUUCCAUAGAGGGACCGGAAGAAGACACGGGCCCCUAGGGAGGUGAGGAGACCCUUCUGGGUGGAAAAUAGGGAAAAGAUAAACUGGAGUUGGGUGUGCGCACACACACACACACACACACACACACACAAGCUACUAAUUCUGGAACUCUACCCCAAGAGGCCCCCCAGAUGAGAACUCUAUAUCUUAGGCCUUAAAUCUGUAGACCCAGUUAGAGAUCUAACAUUUAGCUCUUCUGUUCUCCCAGGAGCUACUUGAUAAGAAGGAUAUUAAUCUGUUCAGUAAAUGAGGUAAUGGAGUCAGAGCAGAUUGGUUAUUUGCCCAGGUCAAACACUGAGGAAGCGAAGGCAAAAGUCCCAGUUUCUAGGGACCUAAUUCUGAGCCUUUUUCAAAGGAUUCUAUGCAUUUCUGAUAGGAAAAGCAGUGUAUUCUGUUAUAAAACCAGUUUCUUCCAGAAUUUGAUUCUUCAGAGAGAGGACAAUGACAAUUACCCCCUUAUUAACCAAGAAGGUUCUGGAGACACAACUGAAUUGUUAUUUGUUGAAGACCUCACAGGACGUGGAGAUGGAGAGUUGUAGGUUCUACCCACUUGAUCUGACUAAAGCCUAUUUCCUGGAGUCCUCAAUAACAAGAGUCCAUCCCCAUGCAGCAGGUACCAUGUAGUUUUCCAGUGACUCUUGGUGGAUGUGCAGUUGUUGAUCAGUAAUACCUUGAACUCUCAAGUGAAUUUGCUGGCACUUUGAACAAGUUGGAAGUGCAUCCUCCAAGUAAGAGUUCCUAGUCAUCACAACAUAUAGCUAAAUAUGCAGUUUUCAAGAAUGCCCAGGUUAACAAGACAAAGAAUUGUAGUAUCAUAAUACUAAUUCCUUAAAUCAGGAUAGGACAUAUUAGAGAAACAAAGAUUAUACAUUAAACCAUUACAUAAAUAAAGUAUAACAGUUCAGAAAUUAGGGUCCUGAAGUUAGAAGGAAUAUUCCAAAAGGGAAAAAGUAGAGCAGGAGAGGGGUGGGCCUGGGUCUAGAACUUCCUAAGAAUUGUUCAAAGGUAACAUGAAAUCCCUUAUUUGGUUCUUAUAAUCUAAGAGAAACUGGACAGGAGCCAGUUAUGAAAGCUGAAAUGUUUUUUUAGGAUUCUGAAUUCUUUGGGGCUUAGAAAAUAACAGGCAGCAGUUAGGAAAUGGAAGAUCCCAUUCUCAUGCCAAAAUCAAAAUACAAACAGGAGUGACCAUUAAAUGGGGAAAAAAUAUAUAUAUUUGUGUUCUUUGCUUUCCUGCCUCCUAUUUCCUUCUAGACUCAUGUCUGUGUUAUCCUUUUGUCUUUGAACGCAUUUUACAGUGACAUUAUAUAUGAUUAUGUUAUAUCGAGCAAUCAAAAUGUCCUUUUUCUACUCAGUUCCUGUUUAUCCUUCGCACUUAAAAAUUCUGCCUUUUUCUGUUUGUUGUUUUGUUUUUGUUUUUCCCUCCUUAGGUGCUCAGGAACAGCCCAUGGAAGAAUUAUAUGAAGAGGUGGUGAUUAAGAUUAUAGAGCAGGAGUGGACAUGUUUGGAUUUCCAACAGCUACCCUGCUGGACUGUCAUGGAAGAUAUGCCCAGAAUGUAGCAUUUUUCAGUGAGUGAGUCCGCUGGUGGCUGGGAUGUCUUCUGAACACAGAUACUCAGAGUCCAUGUCCUCAGCACUGGUCCUCAGUCUGAGGAAGCAGAGGAGACGUUCCUUUGAUGGAGCUCACUAUUCCUAGGGGUUACAGAAAAAGCCUGCAAGCUAGAGGGCUAUGCUAGCCCUCGCAUGCAUAGAAAUAGUCAGAACAGAGCAAGAGAACAGUCUAGACAUGGAGGUAGACUCGAAGUAAUAUCAGAAUGAGUGAGCACCUUUAACUGUCAGCACUAUCACUGGAUAAGAAUAAAGCAGGAAAUAAGGAGAAAUUUUCCAUAGGGGAAAAAAAAAACAGUGAUGAAUGGAUCCAUAUUUAAAGCACAUAAGAGGCUCAGAUACAGGGCAGUAUUGGAAAAUAUUAUUGAUACCUACAUAUGAAGUUUGAGAAUAACUUCCAAACCAAAAUUUAUUUUAGUUCCACCAUAGCUUAAAUAAACUAAAAAUAGUAUAGAUUUUAAAGGAAGGAAUUUGUUAGAUUCUAUAAUUUCCUGACUAUAUUUUAAUAUCAGAUAAGUUACUUAACUUCCUUAAGCUCCAGGCCUUCAUCUGUAAAAUGGAACAAUGAGUUCUGACUUGUACAGUUGCAGGUAUUAAAGACAAUAGACGUAUAAAAUCUAGGAUUGUGCUACAUAUUUUCUAAGGUCAUAGCGCUUACUCCACUCUUAAGAGCAAACUUAAGGAAUAGGGUGGAAUUGGGUUGACUUUUCAUAGAACUAAUACAGCUUGUGUGUCCGGAGCCCUUGCUUGCAUUGGUCUCUUCAGGACCCUUUGCCCAAUUUUGUACUUUUUUUUAAAGGGGUACCUCUAAAGUUUUAAAGCUUUAGACCCUUUACAUCCUGGAACCACACCUGUUUAGGAAUCAGAUAAAGCUUGAGUACAGGGCUCUUGUGAGAUCCUGUAUGUUUUCCUUGAUUUUCAGAGCCUAUUUUCUUACCUACAAAAUAGAGGUAAUUGUGUCUACCUCACAAGAUUAUUUGGAAGACUAAAUUAAAUGUAGAGGCAAUACACAGCUAUGGAGUAUUCCAGUGUUUGAAACCCACCUCUAACUUAUUUAGCUACAUGGUCUUGACAACCUCCCUAUGCUCUCUUUUCCUGAUCUGUAGCAAUCCCAUAGGAUUAAAUUAUUCCAGGAUUAAAUUAUCUAUGCAAAGUUCAUAGUCUAAUGCCUGGCACUUAAUAAGCACUCAAACGAUUGUGUUUCUAUUUUCCAUAUUCUUCUCACUCAGCAUAUUGGUACCUCUUACAUGACUUCCCUCUCAUUUUAUCAGAUGUGAUGACAGAAGCUCACCACAAAUAUGAUCACUCUGAGGCCACAGGAUCCUCAAGCUGGGAUUUCCAGAAUUCUUUCAGAAGAGAGAAGCUGGAACAAAAAUCCCCAGAUUCUAAGACACUACCGGAAGAUUCACCUGGGGUGAGACAGAAGGUCUAUGAGUGCCAAGAAUGUGGAAAGUCCUUCAGGCAAAAAGGUAGUCUAACAUUACAUGAGAGAAUUCACACUGGUCAGAAGCCCUUUGAGUGUACCCAUUGUGGAAAAAGCUUCAGGGCCAAAGGCAAUCUUGUUACACAUCAGCGAAUACACACGGGAGAGAAGCCUUAUCAGUGCAAGGAGUGUGGGAAAAGCUUUAGUCAGCGUGGUAGUCUGGCCGUCCAUGAGAGACUCCACACUGGACAGAAACCCUAUGAGUGUGCCAUUUGUCAAAGAAGCUUCAGGAAUCAAAGUAACCUUGCUGUUCACCGAAGAGUUCACAGUGGUGAGAAGCCCUAUAGAUGUGAUCAGUGUGGAAAAGCUUUCAGUCAGAAAGGAAGCUUAAUUGUUCACAUUAGAGUCCACACAGGUCUAAAACCCUAUGCCUGUACCCAGUGCAGGAAGAGUUUCCACACCAGGGGGAAUUGUAUUCUGCAUGGCAAAAUCCACACAGGAGAGACACCCUAUCUGUGUGGUCAAUGUGGAAAAAGCUUCACUCAGAGAGGAAGUCUGGCUGUGCACCAGAGAAGCUGCUCACAAAGGCUCACCCUUUGACCAUUCUAUUCAAAGGAAGUUUUAUUUCUGAAUUAAGGGUACAAAACCCUCUGUUACUGAGCUGCAUAUCCAAUUCUAUGGAAUGAAUGGAGAACAUUCCAGGAAAACCAGUAGGUUAAACAAACUUUUUUCCUUAUCCUCAAAUGAGUAUGAAAAAUAAAUGUCUUGUUUAUCAUUAUCAUGCAUUUUUCAUAAUUUGUCAUGAAUUUUUCAUAUUUUGACUUAAUUUCCCAGGGUACCCUCAUUAAUCUAGAGUCAUACUAGAGAUUGAGUAUAGUAGAUACAGAUUUUAAAUUUGUAUUUGACACCAUCGGCCUUUAAAAAUAUCAGCCCCUAAUCAACCCCAAUGCUGGCAGCUGGAAGUGCACCCCAAGGUCAUUUUCUU